CAUGCAUGUAAGGCCGGGGUUACAGUGAGCUCAUAAAGGGAAGGCUGGGGCUUAUCUUCGUUUGGAGUUGCCAGAAGAUUCCAUGAAGCAUCACAGGAGACUGGGGAAAUGAGAGGAAGGGAAGGAAGCUACCACUGGGUGCCCUGGCAAGACGUCGCCACCCUGGGCUUGUGGCACUGAAGUACCUCUACUAGUUGCAGGGACCCAAGGCAGAACACAAGCCUCGGAGUGUACAACUCUUGGAAAGCCAAAUGUCUGACAUGGCAAAUGCCCUCUCUCCUUCCUUGCAUAUGAACUAUAACCAAGUGCCAAAACAUUUCUGUUAUCGCCUGUGUAGCUGCACAUCCACUCUGUCCAGAAAACAAAAUGCUGAACCCAAUGAAGACAGCAAGAGUGUGACAGCCCCUGCAGAAAAAGUGAGACCCAGAACAUAGCUCUGCAUGCUUCUCUGUGAAGCAGAAAUAGAGGAGAAGCAGCAAGCACACGGAAAAGAAGCAUCAAGUGUCCGUAUCUUCAGGAUGGUUUUGCUCAUGACUUAAAUAUACUGGCAUAUUCCUUGCUCUUGUAUGUGUCCUCUGGGCCACCUUCACAGCUUAGCUUAAAAAAAAAA
Tupaia belangeri chinensis (Chinese tree shrew) is the source of this 610-nucleotide long non-coding RNA. RefSeq lists it as uncharacterized. Lineage: Eukaryota; Metazoa; Chordata; Mammalia; Scandentia; Tupaiidae. The record is from RefSeq and is a predicted model, not a curated record. The transcript has 2 exons.